UGAAUGAUGUGGUGGAUUCUGAAUCAGCCUUCCUGAGGGUAGCUGAGCAAGUCAAUGAAGAAUGGAGUUUUAAGAUAUGUCCAAUUAAACAAACAGCAGUAAUGGAAACCACCUUAUUCCUGGCAGUUGGUUGAGGCUAUUCAUCUUCAGGGAGACUGACUCCUCUGGGGAUGGAAAUUCUAAUUGAAUCCAGGUGCAGCAGCAACGCCAAGUCUACAUGACUCCAUUACAGUACCGUGAUUAUACCACCCCUGCAUAGAAUCCAAAAAGAAAAAGAAAUAGCAGAUUUAGAGCCAACCAACACAUUAUGUAGAGUAGGGAAGGGAAAUGAGACAGAGAGAGACAGAGAGAAGAAAAUGAUGGAGUACGAAUGUCAGGAGCAUGUCACAAAGCAAUUAGGACAGCUCUAUUUUUUUCCUUCCCGUUUUUAGAAACCAAUUGUUCAACAUGUUUAUUUUUGGCAACGGUAACAACAGGCAUUAGGCUGUUCAUUAGAAAGGCACUGAGCACACCCUUAAGCCUGAGGGAGGGGGGAGUCUGAGAGGGGAAGUCAAGAUCUUGCUUUUUGUUCAGUGAUAGGCCUAAAUGCAGGAUGCUCUCUCUUCCUGCAUAUUAAGGAUUUUAGUGGUAAGCCUAAUUAUGGGGUGUUUGUUAGUCUGUGCAAACAAUACGGAUCUAAAUAAACCAGUGCUCUGACUUGGUAUAAGACAACUUCCUAUGUUCAGAUGACUUCUCUGGAAAGUACUUGUGGGAACAGGACGGUUAUGUGAAUUUCUUCUUUGAGACAAUCAGGAUAAUAAAGCUUUGUUUAUUUUUUUUUUUAUUUUUUAUGGUGAGGGGGAGAGGUGAGAGGAUGAAGUUCUUCCAAUCUGGAUAUGUUUCUGCCUAAACAAAACCACUCUUUUGCUGGGGCAUAGUCACUACGCUAGGUCCUUCUCAACUGGCUUAGUUGCUGGGAGGGAGAAGGCAAGGGACAAGGUGACUGGGGGUCAGUACAGUGCAGGAGCACCAAAUUGGCUCUGCCAGUGCAUCAAUCUCCCCACUUCCGUGCCCCCUCUGCUUCCCAGGGGGCAACAAUACUUCACCUGAGAGGUUAGUAUAGCAGCUAUAUCCCAGCCUGAGAGUUGCUUCUGCUGCCGU
Molecule: long non-coding RNA, 1140 nt
Organism: Podarcis raffonei (Aeolian wall lizard)
Lineage: Eukaryota; Metazoa; Chordata; Lepidosauria; Squamata; Lacertidae
Exons: 3
Source: RefSeq, a predicted model, not a curated record